GUGGCGGACGGGUGAGUAACGCGUGGGUAACCUGCCUUGUACUGGGGGAUAGCAGCUGGAAACGGCUGGUAAUACCGCAUAAGCGCACAAUGUUGCAUGACAUGGUGUGAAAAACUCCGGUGGUAUAAGAUGGACCCGCGUCUGAUUAGCUAGUUGGUGAGAUAACAGCCCACCAAGGCGACGAUCAGUAGCCGACCUGAGAGGGUGACCGGCCACAUUGGGACUGAGACACGGCCCAGACUCCUACGGGAGGCAGCAGUGGGGAAUAUUGCACAAUGGAGGAAACCCUGAUGCAGCGACGCCGCGUGAGUGAAGAAGUAAUUCGUUAUGUAAAGCUCUAUCAGCAGGGAAGAUAGUGACGGUACCUGACUAAGAAGCUCCGGCUAAAUACGUGCCAGCAGCCGCGGUAAUACGUAUGGAGCAAGCGUUAUCCGGAUUUACUGGGUGUAAAGGGAGUGUAGGUGGCCAUGCAAGUCAGAAGUGAAAAUCCGGGGCUCAACCCCGGAACUGCUUUUGAAACUGUAAGGCUGGAGUGCAGGAGGGG
RNAcentral lists this ribosomal RNA (544 nucleotides) under uncultured bacterium. RNAcentral describes it as "bacterial SSU rRNA". It matches the Rfam family "Bacterial small subunit ribosomal RNA", at positions 95 to 657 of the family's 1533-position model. The record is from RNAcentral.